GACGAACCGUGCGAACGUUGUUCGGAUUCACUGGGCUUAAAGGGCGCGUAGGCGGACUCGCCAGUCUGUGGUGAAAGCCCCCAGCUUAACUGGGGAAGUGCCGUGGAUACUGCGAGUCUGGAGGAGGGUAGGGGCAUCUGGAACGCUGGGUGGAGCGGUGAAAUGCGUUGAUAUCCAGCGGAACUCCGGUGGCGAAGGCGGCUCACUGGCCCGGUACUGACGCUGAGGUGCGAAAGCGUGGGGAGCAAACAGG
This 253-nucleotide ribosomal RNA is filed under the name uncultured bacterium. Its description in RNAcentral is "partial 16S ribosomal RNA". It matches the Rfam family "Bacterial small subunit ribosomal RNA", at positions 524 to 776 of the family's 1533-position model. The record is from RNAcentral.